Molecule: non-coding RNA, 1352 nt
Organism: Castor canadensis (American beaver)
Lineage: Eukaryota; Metazoa; Chordata; Mammalia; Rodentia; Castoridae
Source: the annotation of a RefSeq genome assembly
AUGACAGUCUCCCUGACUGCUUUUCCUUUGGUUCCAUGAACACUUUAUCCAAAUGAAGUAUAUGAUUUUUGAAACCCUACAGAAUUAUUAUCUAAACACCAAAGGAUGUGCUAGGAUUUUGGCAGUCAGUAUUCUGGGCCAGUGCAGGAAAACUCCUUCUUUAGAAUAUUUAGAAAGAAUAUCCUUCAUUUAACCAACAUGGAAACAGUCCUGAAAUCCAAGCUGGUGCUAGCAUUCAGUGCUAGCUAUUACCGUGACAAUUACUUAAUAUUCUCUGUGCUCACCAUAUCGCUCCUUCCAGAAGAUCUUUAGGGAAAACUUAGUUCAGUUUCUAGGAGGUUUUUGCUGAGCUGAAGAUCACUGUGUGAAUAAUAAUGCAGGCACCGCGCUCACAUUUGGAGGGGGAACAAGGUUAAUGGUCAAACCCCACAUCUCAGACCCUGACCCUACUGUGUACCAGCUGAAAGACUCUAAAUUCAGAAACACCUCCAUCUGCCUGUUCACUGAUUAUAAGUCUGGAGUCAAUGUGUCAAAGAGCACAGACCCCGAACUGUUUAUCUUCGAAACAACUGCGCUGGACAUGAGAUCCAUGGAUUCCAAGAGCAAUGGUGCUGUGGCCUGGAGCAACAAAAUUGAUUUUGAAUGUUCAGGUGUCUUCAAGGAAAAUGCCUCCUACCCCAGCUCAGAAGUUCCCUGUAAUGCCAAGUUGGUAGAGAAAAGCUUUGAAACAGAUAUGAACCUGAACUUUCAAAACCUGUCAGUGAUUGGGCUCCGCAUCCUCCUCCUGAAAGUGGCCGGAUUUAACGUGCUCAUGACACUGAGGCUGUGGUCCAGCUGAGAUCAGCCAGAUUGUAAGAGGCCGAGCUCCCUUGCUCAUUCCUCCUCAUUACCCUUCUUCCCCAUCUUCAAGAAGAGAGGUGCUUCCCAUCACCAUGGAGAAGGCUCCCAUCAUCUCUCUAACCCCAACUGCCAAUGCCACUGACUGGAUCCCAUCCAAAUUUGUGAUGAAGAUUGCUGUAGAGCUGCGAAGUACUGCUGUCUCCCCCUCUUAUCACUGCUUGCCACCAUUCAACAGCAAAGGCCAGGGGCUGUCACAGAGUCUCCUGGCUGUGAAGAAACUCCCUGCCCUCCCCCAGAGACUACCUAUGUGGUCCCAUUGGGUGAUGAAUUCCCAGUGGAGUCUCUUGGACCCUAACUUCUGGAGAGUGUUGGGAUGAGUUCAUGUUUUUUAGUAGUGUUCAUAAAGAAAUACAUAUUACUUUUUCUCAAGCUGUGGGGGGAAACUAUCUCAUUGCUACACUAUGUAUCUGAGCUAUUCUGCUGCCCAUGACUUCAUUAAAAGUGAUUUAGAU